UCAGCCUCAUCCCACCAGAAGAACGGUGGGCCUGGGCUGAGGUGGAGGCGCCAGAAGCUCCUGCAUUGCCCGUGGUGCCUGAACUCCCUGAGGUGCCCAUGGAGAUGCCUUUGGUGCUGCCCCCAGAGCUCGAGCUGCUCUCACUGGAAGCAGUGCACAGGUACCAGGGAGGUGGCACCUUGAUGGGGUGGACCCGGGCUGAAGCCUCUGCUAAUGGUUCUUGAUCUCUAUAGGGCAGUGGCACUGGAGCUGCAGGCUAACAGGGAGCCUGACUUCAGCAGCCUGGUGUCACCUCUCAGCCCCCGCAGGAUGGCUGCCCGGGUCUUCUACCUGCUCCUGGAUUCUUCACGUGAAACAAGAAAAGCCAUAUGGUCGCCUCCUGAUCCAGCCGGGGCCCAGAUUCCACUGAGGUUAGAGUCCAUUUACAAAGCUGCCAGAAAACCGGCCACUUCUAGUAAACCACGUCGUGCCUCACUGGGUCCUGCUUACCUCAUUUCUGAAUGUGCAUUUCCAGCCUUCUUGCUCUCAGAGCUAUUGUUCAAGCAGAAAACAAGCUGCUUUUAUUAC
RNAcentral lists this small RNA (567 nucleotides) under Pan troglodytes (chimpanzee). Its description in RNAcentral is "processed transcript". Lineage: Eukaryota; Metazoa; Chordata; Mammalia; Primates; Hominidae. The record is from RNAcentral.